This 119-nucleotide ribosomal RNA is filed under the name Candidatus Bathyarchaeota archaeon. Lineage: Archaea; Thermoproteati; Candidatus Bathyarchaeota. The record is from RNAcentral.
UACGCCGGUCAUAGGGCGCGGGCCCCACCCACACUCAUUCCGAACGUGGAAGUUAAACCGCGCCACGUCCUUCACCUCUGUGGUGCGCAAGCCCACGAGAGGCUAGGAUGCUGGCGGUC